CCUACGGGUGGCAGCAGUGGGGAAUAUUGGACAAUGGGGGCAACCCUGAUCCAGCCAUGCCGCGUGUGUGAAGAAGGCCCUCGGGUUGUAAAGCACUUUCAGUGAGGAAGAACGCCUGGUGGUUAAUACCCAUCAGGAAAGACAUCACUCACAGAAGAAGCACCGGCUAACUCCGUGCCAGCAGCCGCGGUAAUACAGAGGGUGCGAGCGUUAAUCGGAAUUACUGGGCGUAAAGCGCGCGUAGGUGGCUUGAUAAGCCGGUUGUGAAAGCCCCGGGCUCAACCUGGGAACGGCAUCCGGAACUGUCAAGCUAGAGUGCAGGAGAGGAAGGUAGAAUUCCCGGUGUAGCGGUGAAAUGCGUAGAGAUCGGGAGGAAUACCAGUGGCGAAGGCGGCCUUCUGGACUGACACUGACACUGAGGUGCGAAAGCGUGGGUAGCAAACAGGAUUAGAUACCCCAGUAGUC
Molecule: ribosomal RNA, 465 nt
Filed under: Vreelandella stevensii
Lineage: Bacteria; Pseudomonadati; Pseudomonadota; Gammaproteobacteria; Oceanospirillales; Halomonadaceae
Description: partial 16S ribosomal RNA
Rfam family: Bacterial small subunit ribosomal RNA
Source: RNAcentral